UUCUAUUUUUAUUCUUUGGUUCAAUUGAGCCUAUUCGCUCAAUGAGGGGUAAAGCACUCCACUUAUUUCCUAAGCGAAAUACGAUCAUUUUUGAGUGCUCUAUCGAAUCAAGCAUAUAACAUCACCUUGGUUUGAGUCCCUUCGCAUUGGUCGAUCCCGGGCAGUGAGAAAGCGGACUCACUCGCCAAGGUGGGCGCUAUGGAAGGCGAUAUUGAUAACCGUCAUAUCGUCUUCAAUGAUUUUUUUUUCGAUUGCUCGUCAGCAUGCCUUGGUCAGUUGGCAACAAAAAUGGGAUGCAGGAGAGUUGGACAGGUGGUUACAUUCAAUUCUCCUACAGGUAUCGAAGACGGCGUGGUUCAAGGGGUUGGAUAUGGGUCGAGAUUUUAUCAAGAUAAUGUGUCGACUUAUGUCCAAUCACUACUCUCUGGGCUCGCAUUUUUAUCGAAUAGGGCUCACAGAUAGCAAUCGUUGUAGCUGUGGUGCAGGCUAUCAAGAUAUCAACCAUGUUGUGUGGGAGUGUCCCGAAUACGGUAUUGCCAGAUCCGAUUUAUGUGCAUUCCUCAGGGCCCGAGGGAAACCAGAAAAGGAAGACAUUAGAGAUGUGUUGGGUAAACUUGAUCUUGAGUAUAUGAAGCUUGUGUACGACUUCUUGAAGCAAGCUGAAGUCUUCGUUUGAUAUCCCCGUCUUGUUGUUUCACUUGUCCACCUCGUGUCUUUAUUUGAUAUCCCAGUAUUGUUGCUCCACUUGUCCACAUUGUGUCCCUUCAACACCCAUUAAAUACACCAAAUCCAGUGGAACUAAGGUACACCGGGGCAAGUUGAAACGGGUGGGGCAAGAUGAAACAGCGGGUUAACAUGAUGUUAUCCAAUGAUGGUGAACUGCUUGAAUGCCAUAACACAUAGUUUUUGAUUCAAACAAUUUUUUGGCGAAAGAAAAAAUUCCAAAUUGUUUUGAAAUCUAUUUCAAAACUUCGUGUUUCAUCUUGCCCCACCCGUUUCAACUUGCCCCGGUGUACCUUAUUUGUUGUUGACCCGUCAGUGAAAAACCUUCUGUUGCAACUGAUUUUAGAAUGUGCUCCGAUCGGAGCGCAUCUGGGAUUCCACGGAUUUCUUGGAUCAUGGUCAGAUCAAAACCUAUAGUGCAAUCGCGAUUGGGAACAUUCAAUGAAGGGUGAACCUCCAGUCAUGUACGAGUACACUGUCAUAAAAUCAGCUUUUCAAUUACCAAUGGAUUCAGCACCUCACAGCACAGCGGAUGAGGAAUUUUAACGACAGUUCCACGAAGCGAUCUUAUAAAGGAAGUACUGCUGCUAGUACCUCCAAACUCAUUGUGUGCGUCGAGUUCAUGCAGCCUAAAUAACGUGAUCCGAAGACAACGAUACUGGAUACGCUCUAGCUUCAGGAUGUGUGUUUUCGCGCGGCGGACUGAAAGCAAAAGCUACCGUAUUCGAGAACCGACAGUAUCGUUGUACGAUAAAGCUUUAUCAGAUCUUCCGGGUGGGCUCCACACCAUGUUCCGGUGAGUGUACGCAUGAAGUUGAUUCGUUGUUGGCACUUCUGAUACAGAUAAUUAAUGUGCUUUCCCCAGGUGCCUUUAGAGUCGAACCAGACCCCUAGAUACAUAUGUGAAAGAACUUGAGUGAGUUCCUUACCCAAAAAUUGAAGCUGUAGAUCGGUUGGAUCACGCUUCCUAGAAAAGACAACUAACUCAGUUUCCUCCGGAGAGAAUUCGAUACCCAGCUUUACAGCAAAAGCAGACAAAUUGUCCAGAGUAUCUUGCAAUGGUCCUUUGUAGAUCUCCCGCCUCUGGUCCGACGAUAGACACCACGGCGUCAUCCGCAAGCUGUCGUAGCGUGCAAUUUUCCACGAGACAUUCGUCGAUAUCUCUGACGUAAAAAUUGUAAAGAAGGGGGCUUAAGAACGAUCCCUGGGGGAGACCCAUGUAACUGAUUCGUGAAGUUGCCGAGGUUCCAUGAGAGAAAAACAUGUGCUUCUCAGACAACUAGUUGUUUAAAUAGUUGUUUAAAAUCGGAGAAAGCCCACACUCGUGGAGUUUGUCUGAAAGGACAUCAACGCAAACUGCAUCAAAAGCCCACUAAUAUCCAAAAAUACUGAACCCAUUUGGUAUUUUUGAGCGUAGGCCAGUUGAAUUUCUGUAGUAAGCAGCGCCAGACAAUCGCUCGUUCCCUUGCCUCUGCAUAAACCGAAUUGAGUAUCUGAAAGGAGGCCGUUCGAUUCAACCCAUGUAUCGAGCCGAUGGAGAAUCAUCUUCUCUAGCAGCUUCCGUAAGCACGACAACAUCGCAAUAGGACGGUACGAGUUGUGAUCCGACGCGGGCUUCCCUGGCUUUUGAAUGGCUAUAACCCUCACUCGUCUCCAGUCAUCCGGAACAGUGUUGCUCUCCAAGAACAAAUUCAACAAGCGCCUCUUUGCGACGUCUGGGAGGCUUUUGAGCAAGUUGAACUUUAUUCUAUCCAUUCCUGAGGCAGAGUUGAUCGAACAAAGUUCGCAGUCACUCGAAGUUAACUAUCUACAAAAACGCUGAUUAGACCGGUAGUCCUCUAUGGGCACUAGCCUGGUACACGGUUUAUAUGGGAAAAUAUAAAAAAUGGGAAAACUUUAACUCCUGUAUACUUUUUGAGUUCCAUUUUGGUCCCAUAUCAACUGUGCAAAAUUUCAGAUCGAUCAAAGAAACUAUAUUUUAGCACCCGCCAUUCUUAGUUUUUCAUACGAUUUACUAUGGGGAAAGUUUACUUCUUCAAAGAAAAAUCGCUUGAGGUCACCCAUUGAUCCCUAAAAAUACAUCGUUGUAUACGGGAUGAAUGACCCAUAAAAGGUUAAAAUCCCUGGUAAUAAACAAACAACAACAACAUCGUUGUAUGCUUUCUGUACAUAACUUCACGAGGAAUCAGACCUCCGAAGACCGCGAAGCGAUGCGACAUUCGUGGAAAAAGUUAUUAAGCCUUACCCGAUCGAUAAAAUGACGUGAUUUUAUUAUUUAUUGUUAUUCCUUACAUGUUAAACAACGUUGGCAUGCCAUUCGGGUUUCAGUCAAUAACUUUUUCCACAUGCCUUAGAUCGCUUUGCGGUCUUCAGAGGGUUUGUUCCUCGCAAAAUUUCCAGCAGAAAUCAUUCAUCGAUAUAUUUUUAGGGGUUAAGGGGCAACCUGUGGCGAUUUUUCUUUGAAAAAGUGAUUUUCCCCAUAGUAAAUCGUCCUCCUCUCUCCUCUUCUUGGCGUAACGUCCUCAUUGGGACAAAGCCUGCUUCUCAGCUUAGUGUUCUAUGAGCACUUCCACAGUUAUUAACUGAGAGCUUCCUCUGCCAAUGACCAUUUUUGCAUGUGUAUAUCGUGUGGCAGGCACGAAGAUACUCUAUGCCCAAGGAAGUCAAGGAAAUUUCCUUUACGAAAAGAUCCUGGACCGACCGGGAAUCGAACCCGUCACCCUCAGCAUGGUCAUGCUGAAUACCCGUGCGUUUACCGCCUCGGCUAUAUGGGCCCACAGUAAAUCGUAUGAAAACUUAAAACGGCUGGCGCUAAAAUAUAGUUUCUCUGAUCGAGCUGAAAUUUUGCACAGUUGAUAUGGGGUCAAAAUGGAACUCAAAAAGUGUACAGGAGUAAAAUGUCAUUUCGUGUCCCACGCUAAUGGGCACGAAGCAUGGACCCCAUGUGCAAAGGACCAACGCAAUAAGCUAAAGGUGGAGAGCUUCAGAUCCGCGGUACCUGGAAUCCUUAUCGGUCAGAGCAACUCUCAUCUCCUAGCCACUGUGUAGCUGCGAAAGGGGAAAAGUGAACGAGCUUACAGCUACGAACACAAUCAUUGGAUGGGCAGUAUGCGUCAGUUUACGAAAACCUCAAACGAAUUCGAUGUCGUUGAUCAGCACGAGUACGUUCGCCGUUUUUUCGACAUCGAGAGCAUGGGAGUAGCGGUUGUACCAGCUGCGAAAGGAGCAGAAGAACGGGCACUGGAAAUCCUAAUAUCCACAAUCGGCGAAGUUCGAGACGGGACUGUUGUGGAAACAUGACUACGUGGAGAUGCCGGACAGUUGACCGAUGGCAGAACGUCGAAUCAGGUGCCUGGAAAAACGUUUAACCAAGAAACCGGAGUUGUAUGAAAGCGCUAGGAAGCAAAUGCAUAGCGGAUUUUCUAAGCAAGGGGUAUAUCCAUUUAGCGACAGCAGAAGCAGGUGAAAGAUUCGAAUUACGAAGAAAGGUAAGAAUCAUCUGGUAUGCGGCAGCAACGAUAUAGUUGAAGUGACUCAAUCUUCUUACACCGUUGUUGUCCAUAAUGUUCCCAUACCGGGAGCGACAAGUGGCAGUUCCCGCAGCAGAUAUCAAGGAGAUGCUCAGCAAAUCACAAUUCGUCAGCAAGAUCGCUGUACUUUGUUGUUUCCGUAUCGGGAUUCCCUUGAACUUCCAAUGAAAAUCAUGGUUUCUGACGUGGCAAUGUUUGAUGUGGCUUGCUCACCAGUUCAUUCGCAACACACAAAGAACUUGAACACGCAAGAGCAGGAACAGGAGCUACCCAGUGGUGCUGCGACAGUCAUCGAAAGGCACUUCGUGAACGACUUAUACACUCCAAAAAAUCUGAACGUCAAGGCUACGUGAAAAAUCACGUAGACCAACUUAAAAUGAACUUUUCCAAAAUUUACCUGACAAAUAUAGCAGUCAUCGGUAUAUCGAUCAAGCUUAAAUGAACAACUAGUUGUGUUUACUCUGUUUCCAUGUUUACCUUAGGUGAAAUUCACAUGCAACCCAAAAUUCAUUUUGACAACUGAAUGAAUACUAUAUUCAUUCCGUACUCUACUCGUGUUUCAAGAUGGCGUCUUUGAAAACAAUCUUUGAGAAUUGCUAGCUAAUUUGAACAUUCUGGCCUAUUCGCAGGGAAUAUUUGAGGUAAACUGAUCAAAAGUGCUGUUAUAUUGUGUGUUAACUCGAAUUUUAACAUUUGCAUAGAAUGUGGAGUUGAUUUUACCCCUACUGGCCUUUUUUUCGGACCAUAUCCGCAACCAUUUGAGCGUCGGCUCAAACACUUCGACAUUAUUUUCGAACAAGAAACUAAUCCAAAAUUACCGAUUUGGUGUCGGCUUUGCCGGCGGGUUAUUGAUUACGGCUCAUUGAUAAAGACACAUUCACUUACCCACUCAGUUGCCACCGCACCCGUUCUACAUCAACAACCACUUUUGGGCGGUGGUUGAAUCAGCAUCUGGAGAACCAGUUCCCGAAGCCGAGAUGAUUUCACCAGUCCUUGCUAGAGUCAGUCUAGUUAGAGUCUGGCGGACUGUCACUUUCGAUCGGAGCCAAUCGAGCAUGACGUCACGGUGUAGCAUUUAUCGGUGAGGACACUAUGACGUCAUGCUCGAUUGGCUCCGGUCGAAAGUGACAGUCCGCCAGACUCUAAUUAUAGGGACUCUAGUCCUUGCUGAUGGUAUUUCCAGCUUUACGAGAAACGUUCUUGCCCGUAGUGGAAGUGCUUUUUUACCUGCUUUUAAGCUACCCAGCAUGUUUACAAAAAAAUGUGAUAGUAUUUUAGAGUUAGGAACAGCUUGCACGACUAAUGUACAACUGUAAUUGCUAAAAUAAAAUUGAAUUGUAGUAUACCUACUUAACAUUUGCUAUUUACAAAAUAAUGCAUUUAUUCAAUUAUAUAGUGUAAACGCAAUAUUCUUUGCUUCUGCUUUGGUGCUAGCCCUUUCAUACACAACGAAAUAACGGAAGAAACUAAGAAGUGAGUUUUAGGUAUAGCAGAAGCGAAGAAUAAUGCGUUUACCCUUUAGUAAUUGAUCUAAAAUUAUC
This is a long non-coding RNA of Aedes albopictus (Asian tiger mosquito), 5794 nucleotides long. RefSeq lists it as uncharacterized. The record is from RefSeq and is a predicted model, not a curated record. NCBI's taxonomy places the organism in Eukaryota, Metazoa, Arthropoda, Insecta, Diptera, Culicidae. The transcript has 2 exons.